Molecule: non-coding RNA, 90 nt
Filed under: Chattonella subsalsa
Lineage: Eukaryota; Raphidophyceae; Chattonellales; Chattonellaceae
Source: RNAcentral
AAAUAUGCAAGAAAGUUGAAAAAAAGGAAGAGUAUUAAACAAUAUUUGUAUUUUUCCUUAAUUUCUUCUCUGUUUUUUUUUUUGUUUUUU